This 465-nucleotide ribosomal RNA is filed under the name uncultured bacterium. RNAcentral's name for it is "partial 16S ribosomal RNA". It matches the Rfam family "Bacterial small subunit ribosomal RNA", at positions 28 to 507 of the family's 1533-position model. The record is from RNAcentral.
GACGAACGCUGGCGGCGUGCUUAACACAUGCAAGUCGAACGGAAAGGCCCCUUUGGGGGUACUCGAGUGGCGAACGGGUGAGUAACACGUGAGUAACCUGCCCUUGACUUCGGGAUAACUUCAGGAAACUGGGGCUAAUACCGGAUAGGAAUCCUUGCUGCAUGGUGGGGGUUGGAAAGCUUCGGCGGGUUUGGAUGGACUCGCGGCUUAUCAGCUUGUUGGUGGGGUAGUGGCUUACCAAGGCUUUGGCGGGUAGCCGGCCUGAGAGGGCGACCGGCCACAUUGGGGCUGGGAUACGGCCCAGACUCCUACGGGGGGCAGCAGUGGGGAAUUUUGCCCCAUGGGCGGGAGCCUGAUGCAGCAACGCCGCGUGCGGGAUGACGGCCUUCGGGUUGUAAACCGCUUUCAGCAGGGGCGGAGCUUGUGGUGACGGUACCUGCAGAAGAAGCACCGGCUAACUACGUG